This 906-nucleotide ribosomal RNA is filed under the name uncultured bacterium. RNAcentral's name for it is "bacterial SSU rRNA". It matches the Rfam family "Bacterial small subunit ribosomal RNA", at positions 8 to 916 of the family's 1533-position model. The record is from RNAcentral.
AGAGUUUGAUCCUGGCUCAGGAUGAACGCUAGCGGGAGGCCUAACACAUGCAAGUCGAACGGGAUUGGGAGCUUGCUCCCAUGAGAGUGGCGCACGGGUGAGUAACGCGUAUGCAACCUACCUAUAACUGAGGGAUAGCCCAUAGAAAUGUGGAUUAAUACCUCAUAGUUCUUUUGGUCCGCAUGGACUGAAAGAUAAAGCUCCGGCGGUUAUAGAUGGGCAUGCGUGACAUUAGUUUGUUGGUGAGGUAACGGCUCACCAAGACUACGAUGUCUAGGGGUUCUGAGAGGAUGAUCCCCCACACUGGUACUGAGACACGGACCAGACUCCUACGGGAGGCAGCAGUGAGGAAUAUUGGUCAAUGGGCGCAAGCCUGAACCAGCCAUCCCGCGUGCAGGAUGAAGGCCCUAUGGGUCGUAAACUGCUUUUAUACACCAAGAAAAACACCCACGUGUGGGUGCCCGACGGUAGUGUAUGAAUAAGCAUCGGCUAACUCCGUGCCAGCAGCCGCGGUAAUACGGAGGAUGCAAGCGUUAUCCGGAUUCAUUGGGUUUAAAGGGUGCGUAGGCGGCUUUUUAAGUCAGUGGUGAAAUCUUGCCGCUUAACGGUAAAAUUGCCAUUGAUACUGAAAAGCUUGAGUACAAUUGAGGUAAGCGGAAUGUGUAGUGUAGCGGUGAAAUGCUUAGAUAUUACACAGAACACCGAUUGCGAAGGCAGCUUACUAAACUGUUACUGACGCUGAUGCACGAAAGCGUGGGGAGCGAACAGGAUUAGAUACCCUGGUAGUCCACGCCGUAAACGAUGAUCACUCGCUGUAUGCGAUACACAGUAUGCGGCCAAGCGAAAGCAUUAAGUGAUCCACCUGGGGAGUACGAUCGCAAGGUUGAAACUCAAAGGAAUUGACGG